This 474-nucleotide long non-coding RNA is filed under the name Fukomys damarensis (Damara mole-rat). RNAcentral's name for it is "lncRNA (ENSFDAG00000031855.1)". The record is from RNAcentral. Lineage: Eukaryota; Metazoa; Chordata; Mammalia; Rodentia; Bathyergidae.
GGUGCACAAGGUGAUGAUGCAGUCUUUGUGAUCAUGUCACAAGGUAGUCUUUGUGAUCACAUGGGACUUUCUCAGGUAUAGCAAAAAUCUGCUGAUUUGCUACAGCCUAAGUUACAUCUCCACUACUGUAUGGUGUUUCCCUGUUACAGAUCCUCUGGCUUCUAGUAUCCAUCUGGUUGCUCAGACAUUGAGUUCAUCCUAGGCAGGGGUCGGGGACCUGUAUCCUCUACAUGUUGCUGAUCCCCUACACAAGCAUUUACUGUGUACGCUCGUGAGCAUAUUUUCUAGAGCCGUACUCAUACUGCAACGUCAGAGUUGAGCAGCCAUGACAAAGACCACAAAGACAUCGAAGUCCAAGACAAAUAAUUGUUAGGUUUUUUUAGAGAAAAUGAUCUCUCAGCCACUCCCUUUAUUUGAAGGUAAUUGAUGUUCCUGAUUUUCUUGAAGGUUUUUCUUUUCACUUUUUAUUCAUUU